Small nuclear RNA from Lemur catta (Ring-tailed lemur), 140 nucleotides. RefSeq annotates it as U4 spliceosomal RNA. NCBI's taxonomy places the organism in Eukaryota, Metazoa, Chordata, Mammalia, Primates, Lemuridae. The record is from RefSeq and is a predicted model, not a curated record. The transcript has a single exon.
AGCUUUGUGCAGUGGCAGUACCGUAGCUGAUGACGUUUAUCCGAGGUGCAAUUAUUGCUAGCUGAAAAUUUUCCCCAUACCCUGCCAUGACGACUUGCAAUAUAGCUGGCAUUGGCAAUUUUUGGUGGUCCCUACAGAGA